GACAGAGGGGGCAAGCGUUGCUCGGAAUCACUGGGCGUAAAGGGCGCGUAGGCGGGAUGGCAAGUCGGUCGUGAAAUCCUUCGGCUCAACCGAAGAACGUCGGCGGAAACCAUCUGGCUAGAGUCCGGAAGAGGAGAGUGGAAUUCCUGGUGUAGCGGUGAAAUGCGCAGAUAUCAGGAAGAACACCCGUGGCGAAGGCGGCUCUCUGGGACGGUACUGACGCUGAGACGCGAAAGCGUGGGGAGCGAACAGG
This 253-nucleotide ribosomal RNA is filed under the name uncultured bacterium. RNAcentral describes it as "partial 16S ribosomal RNA". It matches the Rfam family "Bacterial small subunit ribosomal RNA", at positions 524 to 776 of the family's 1533-position model. The record is from RNAcentral.